GAAAUGCGAUACUUGGUGUGAAUUGCAGAAUUCAGUGAAUCAUCGAGUCUUUGAACGCACAUUGCGCCCCCUGGUAUUCCGGGGGGCAUGCCUGUCCGAGCGUCAUUGCUGCCCUCAAGCACGGCUUGUGUGUUGGGCUUCCGUCCCUGGCAACGGGGACGGGCCCAAAAGGCAGUGGCGGCACCAUGUCUGGUCCUCGAGCGUAUGGGGCUUUGUCACCCGCUCCCGUAGGUCCAGCUGGCAGCUAGCCUCGCAACCAAUCUUUUUAACCAGGUUGACCUCGGAUCAGGUAGGGAUACCCGCUGAACUUAAGC
RNAcentral lists this unclassified non-coding RNA (314 nucleotides) under plant metagenome. RNAcentral describes it as "partial contains 5.8S ribosomal RNA, internal transcribed spacer 2, and large subunit ribosomal RNA". The stretch from base 1 to 105 matches the Rfam family "5.8S ribosomal RNA", at positions 50 to 154 of the family's 154-position model. The record is from RNAcentral.